Molecule: ribosomal RNA, 189 nt
Filed under: uncultured bacterium
Lineage: Bacteria
Description: partial 16S ribosomal RNA
Source: RNAcentral
AUUACCGCGGCUGCUGGCACGGAGUUAGCCGAUCCUUAUUCCUACAGUACCGUCAAGCUCCCACACGUAGGAGGGUUUCUUCCUGUAUAAAAGCAGUUUACAAUCCAUAGGACCGUCUUCCUGCACGCGGCAUGGCUGGUUCAGUCUUGCGACCAUUGACCAAUAUUCCUCACUGCUGCCUCCCGUAGG